GACGAACGCUGGCGGCGUGCUUAGCACAUGCAAGUCGAACGGAAAGGCCCUGCUUUUGUGGGGUGCUCGAGUGGCGAACGGGUGAGUAACACGUGAGUAACCUGCCCUUGACUUUGGGAUAACUUCAGGAAACUGGGGCUAAUACCGGAUAGGAGCUCCUGCUGCAUGGUGGGGGUUGGAAAGUUUCGGCGGUUGGGGAUGGACUCGCGGCUUAUCAGCUUGUUGGUGGGGUAGUGGCUUACCAAGGCUUUGACGGGUAGCCGGCCUGAGAGGGUGACCGGCCACAUUGGGACUGAGAUACGGCCCAGACUCCUACGGGAGGCAGCAGUGGGGAAUAUUGCACAAUGGGCGGAAGCCUGAUGCAGCAACGCCGCGUGCGGGAUGACGGCCUUCGGGUUGUAAACCGCUUUCGCCUGUGGCGAAGCGUGAGUGACGGUAAUGGGUAAAGAAGCACCGGCUAACUACGUG
RNAcentral lists this ribosomal RNA (468 nucleotides) under uncultured bacterium. RNAcentral's name for it is "partial 16S ribosomal RNA". It matches the Rfam family "Bacterial small subunit ribosomal RNA", at positions 28 to 507 of the family's 1533-position model. The record is from RNAcentral.